Molecule: long non-coding RNA, 1272 nt
Filed under: Ursus maritimus (polar bear)
Lineage: Eukaryota; Metazoa; Chordata; Mammalia; Carnivora; Ursidae
Description: lncRNA (ENSUMAG00000023469.1)
Source: RNAcentral
AUGUCGGUGUUACAUGUAUGUUGUUGCAUGUGUAUACACAUAUGUGUGUAUACAUAUAUGUUGUGGGUAUACACACGUUUAUGUUGUACACAUGCAUGUAUGUUUUAUGUUGGUGAAAGUUUAGCUCUUGUGGAGGAGAUGACAACACUGAUUUGUAGUGUUUGCCUAUUUCGGUGGUGUAAGAACUCCCACUGUGGCCUACUGCGAGCUACCAGAGGGAUGUCGUCGUGCGGAGUUGGGAAGAGAUGCUCGGCGGUGGACCAUCGUAUAGGAGUCCCCAGACAGAAACAAAUCAGAUAUUUACUGAACACUUCUGCGACAAAGAUUCUUCUAUACAGCGGCCUGUGGCUCGCUUGUAACCAACAGGAUUCUGAGAAGUGACACUUCAGGACUUCCGUAGUGACGGCAGGAGAGGCCCUGUUGCCUGGGACACUCCUGUGUGGGGUCCUGAGCCGCCACGUAGGGCAGCUGGGACCCUGAUGCCUCCAUCUGUGUGAGCCGACGCCCUGCACAGGCGCUCUGGAAAACUGCCACAGUUAUGGCCCAGGAAAUAGUACUAACCUUGGGGCACGCGGGUGAACAUACCUCCGUGUGACUCCUGCCCCCAGCCCUGGAGUCACCCCCAGCCACCGAUCAUCCCAGCGGAGGCCCUUCCUGCUGUGCCCUCUGAUUUCUUGACCUAUAGAAUUCUGAGCAAAAGAAGAUGAUUGUUUUGAGACACUGAAUAUUGGGAUAAUGUGUUUCACAGCAAAAAUGACGGGAACAUCUUACUGAGGAGGGGAAGGGGAGUUUCUAUAGCUUCAUGGUGGCUGGAGGGACAGGGCGGUGGCUUCCCUGCCUCUCUCCAUUUGCUGUGACUUCCAGUUCUCGCCUCAUCUCACCCUGAUUGGAAUGACACAUGGACGCGUCUGUCUGCCCUGUCAGGCUGGCUGGGAGCCCCCGUGGGAAGAGGAUGGCUGGGCUGUCCUGGUUGCCACGUAUCCCAGGCACCCGGCACAGAGCCCGACAAGAAGAGAAUCGGUAAAUGCUCGCUGGGUACAUGCCUGCCUGCGGUUGGUCUGAUGUUUAUUUCGCCAAGGGUGGGGAUCUCAGACUUCUUCCGAGUUCACAGGGGAGCUGCACGGAAGCUCUUGCUUGCUGGCUGCCUCACACAGAUCUAGGACUGGACUGAAAGCAGUCUUUCUGAAAGCAUUCUCAUGAACACAACAUUUUGAUUGAAACAAUGAUUUGAUUGAAAAUAAAAAUUCCCCAGUUGCUGGGUUUUUUUUCCCU